This 253-nucleotide ribosomal RNA is filed under the name uncultured bacterium. RNAcentral's name for it is "partial 16S ribosomal RNA". It matches the Rfam family "Bacterial small subunit ribosomal RNA", at positions 524 to 776 of the family's 1533-position model. The record is from RNAcentral.
UACGUAGGAUGCAAGCGUUGUCCGGAAUUAUUGGGCGUAAAGAGCGCGCAAGCGGUAUGACAAGUCAGAUGUGAAAGAGGCCGGCUUAACCGGCAAGGGUCAUUUGAAACUGUCAGACUAGAGUGCAGCAGAGGAUAGUGGAAUUCCCGGUGUAGUGGUGAAAUGCGUAGAUAUCGGGAGGAACACCAGUGUCGAAGGCGACUAUCUGGGCUGCAACUGACGCUGAGGCGCGAAGGCUAGGGUAGCAAACAGG